This is a long non-coding RNA of Capsicum annuum, 5812 nucleotides long. RefSeq lists it as uncharacterized. NCBI's taxonomy places the organism in Eukaryota, Viridiplantae, Streptophyta, Magnoliopsida, Solanales, Solanaceae. The transcript has 2 exons. The record is from RefSeq and is a predicted model, not a curated record.
UACAUUUCAAACAUAUUAUAACGCUAAUAUAAUAUUUGUAAUAUAUAUAUAUGUUUGAAAUCCGAAAUAAACAAAUAAAAAAUGUAUUAACAAUUUUUUUUUAAAAAAAAACACUAGGAAUAGGAAUUAAAAGAAACAAAAAAGGCACUAGAUAAGGGAAUUAAUCUUUUAAAGAAUAUGGGACACCUCAUUAAUUGAUAGAGAUUUUAUUUGUAAAUAAUAUGGGAUGAUUGAAAGACUCAUUUAUUACGCGUGAAUUAAGGGAUUAUAAAUUAGUUCCAUUUGUUUAUCCUUUAUAAGCAGAAUACUUAGCAAUUAAUAAGGUUAUGCUAAUAUGGCAAUAAACAUUUGAUUAUAAUUGACAUAAUCAUACUUUGGCUAAAAAUCAAGAAAAUAUAUUUUAAUAUUAUAUAUUUGCGUAAUCUUCUCAGAAAAAAACAUAUGUACUGAAACAUAUAUUUAGUAGUUAUUUGUCUUUGCAUUAUAAAUUAGGCAUUGUAAUCCCUGCAUAACUUAAAAUGUGAGCUAAACGACCCUAAGUUUUUUAUCCGAUAACAGUAAGAAGAGAUUUCAAGAUAAAUGAAGCGUAAAAAAUGUCUACAUUGAGUUGAACUGACAACAUGACCACGAAGGCUGUGAUGGUAUAUAUGAAUUGAAUUUCUCCACGUUUAACCAGUUAUCUCGAGAUUAAAUCUUAAAAACAUAAAAAAAAUAAUUAUAAUAGGAAAUGCUUUUCACGAUGAUAGAGCUUACGUGAAGUAAAUUUAAAUUAAUCAGGACACCAUAGACAGAUAAUCGUAGUCCAACACAGAUGAUCAUAUUCCAAGUGGAAAACAAAAGAAUAGACAACAUGGUGGUUGGAUCAAAUAAAAGCCACCCAUGAAAAUAGAAUGGGAAAUCCUUAGCCGUUUUCACAAGGCAAGAUAAAGAAUUUUAUAUUUUGUUGUCCAAUCAAGAUACUGUUUUGAUGCCUACUAGUAUAUAAGUAAUAAAUUGGAUUCUUGCAUUUUACGAAAAAGAAUUUGUGACCGUUACAUUAUUGUUGCUUCUUCAUCGCUAUUUCACAUUCAAAAGUCUUAUACUAAAUAAUGCUGGAAAUAGACUGCUGGUAGUUGGCAUCAGCUCAAUCACCAUUAUGGUGACUCCAUGAUGUGGCUUAUUUUUUUAUUUUUUUAAUACACAACUAUAUAACUAAACUUUUAAAUUUUGUUUAAUUUGAAAAAAAAAAAACUAUUUGGAGUAUUUUUUUGAAAAAAGAAAUCUUUUUGUUAGAAUUAUUCAAAGGAAUACUUUUAUUAGAGUGGCUAAUCAAUUUUUUCAAAAAUGCUUUUGUUAAUUUUAAGGCCCGAGCUUAGUCAAGCUUUCAAAAAAGGUUCAUCAAAAGAAGAUAUUUUUUUCAGUUUCAAAAAAAAAAAAAAAAAAACUACUAGCUACCACUUUUUUCCCCUAAAAAUUUGGUUAAGCACCUUGACUCUUUAAAAUUAAAAUCUUUUUAUUGAAGAUAGAAUUACAUAGCUGUGCAAGGAUCAUUAUGUAAUUUGUAUUAGGAUGUUUGUCAGAAGAUAUUUUAUUUAGUAAGUUGGUUACAACUAUCAAGCUAGGUAGAUAGAGUGAGUUAGUUGGCUGAUAAUAGAAGGUGUAUAUAUAUACACGUACUUUUAGAUGUAAAAAUCAGUUUUCUCAUUAACGUAUCAAAAAAUUUUCACUCCAGUUAUCCAUUUCUGCUAACUAGGUAACUCUCUUGUGAUCUCAUAUAUAGCCUAUCAAUGGUGAAAUCUAACAUGGUCUCAGAGCCCAACGAUCACUUAUAGUGAUUCAUUGAUUUUGUUUCCUUUUCACAAGCUACAACAUUGAGAGCUUUAUCAAUGGCGGUUGACAACACUUUUCCUGAAAAUCUAGGUCGCAAUCAUCCUCUGUUUUUUAGUCCAAGUGAUAAUUCUGGUGUUGUUUUGAUCUCUCUACAAUUCAUUGGAUCUGAGAACCACUCUGUGUGGAGUCGUGCGAUGCGAAUUACAAUUCUAGGUCAAAACAAAAUUGGAUUCAUUGAUGGCACAUACAAAAAGAAAAACUACGGUUCGAAUUUAGCAGCUCUUUGGAAAAGGUGCAACAUAAUUGUUCUCUCAUGAAUAAUGAACGGUGUUUCCAAGGAACUCCUAAGAGGCAUUGUUUACUCAUCCUAUACUACUGUUGUGUGGAAUGAUCUCAAGGAAAGCUUUGAUAAAAUUGAAGGUUCUCACAUUUUACAACUGCACAAAGAAAUCACAACUAUUCAUCAAGUGGACAGGUGAAGGGGAUUGGUAAAAAGCACAAAGGGCUCUACCUUCUCCCAAUUUAAACUCUCAACAGAGACAAAAUAGAGCUUAUAAUUCCUUUUGUGACUAUUGCAAGAUGAGGGGUCACACAAGAGAUGUGUGUUAUAAAUUUAUCGGUUAUCCUAAUGACUCAAAGUUUAAGAAGAAAGGUAAAAAUAUGAAUCAUUCAAGAAACUCUCAAUGAAACUUUCAUACUACUCACAAUGCAGUCACACACUCUUCUUCCUAUAUUCCUUAUUACCACAGAGUUGACACUUAGGAUCAAUUUGAGAGUAAUGGAACAAAUUCCAAGCUUGAUAAAGGAAAAUAGACUUCUAGGUUUGGUGGCAAACUUGAAAGAGGUGAAUGUAGUUCUAGCACUGAUUCUAAAAGAGGUGACAGUAUUUUAGCUGACUAUGAGAAAGAUGCCUCAUAUGGUUUAGGUGCAUGUGAAAGAUUUACUAAAGAACAGUACAAUCAAAUUCUACAUCUUCUUCACAAAGAUACAAAACUAUCAGACUUAACACCAAAGAUGAAUUCUGUAGGUAAUUUUGCUACUGCUCUUGUGGUUGAUCAUAGCUCACUUGAGUGGAUUGUGGACACUAGUUCCACAAACCAUAUGACACCUUACUCUUAUAUACUUACCAACCAGUAGAACAUUGCAUCUUCACGAAGAAAGGUUCAAUUGACUAAUGGUACUUCUAUUGAUUCCACACAUACUGGAUUUUAAUUUGUUUCAUUUCUUCAGAUGCUACGCUUCAUAAUGUUCUACUUAUCCCUGACUUUAAAUUUAACCUUUUGUUAGUUUAUCAACUAACUAAAGCAUUACAUUGUUGGAUAUAAUUCAAUCCUGAUUUUUUUAAUUUACAUGACCUCUACAGUGGACAGGUGAAGGGGAUUGAUAAAAAGCACAAAGGCCUCUCUACCUUCUCCCAGUUUAAAUUCUCAAUAGAGGCCCUUCCACUAUAUCAAAGUUUUUUCAUGUCUGGAAUAUUGUUCAUCCUACUUCAGUCCCACUCACACUUUGGCUCCAAAUACUUUAUCACACUUCCACUUCUGUGUUGUCUCAUCUAUUUUCUAUUUCUUCUAAAUCUUGCACUCAAGAUAUUCAUAAUUGUACUGUAUGUCCACUAGCUAAUUAAUCUAGACUUUCAUUUCCUUUUAGUACUUCUAAAUCUGCUUGUCCAUUUCUACUUCUUCAUGUUGAUGUUUGGGGUCCAAAUAGAAUUUCAACCCAUGAUGGUAAUAGAUUUUUUGUCACUAUGGUUGAUGACUAUUCUAGAAUGUUGUGGCUAUUUCUAAUCAAAUUCAAAAGUUAUGUUAUUAUUGUUUUUCAAGAUUUUCUUACCUUGAUCAAAACUCAGUUUGGAGUUUGUGUCCAUAUCAUUAGAACAGACAAUGUCACAAACUUUGUAAAUAAAAAAUGUAGUAAUUUAUUUAAGUCUUUGGGGAUCAUACAUCACAAAACCUGUAUUCAUACUCUACAAUAGAAUUGAGUUGCUACAAAAAUCAUAGACAUAUAUUGAAGGUGGCUAGAGCAAUUAGAUUGCAAGGUCAUAUUCCUCUCAGAUUAUGGGGACACUGUGUCUUGACUGCUGCCUACAUCAUAAAUAGAUUACUCUCUCCUGUGUUGAAAGGUUUAUCUCCCUAUGAGGUAUUUCACAAAGUCAAGCCCUUUCUGUAAUAUCUCAGAGUCAUUGGUUGUUUGUGUUUUGCAGCAGCCAUUCCUAGAGGUGAUAACUUUCAUCAAAGGGGUGUGCCAGCAGUUCAUAUGGGCUAUAGUCAGUCCACCAAAGUAUACAUAUUAUAUAAUUUGCUAGACAAAUGUUUAUUCAUUAGUAGAGAUGUCAUCUUUAGAGAAUAUGUGUUCCCUUUCUCUAUACUUCUGAAUCCAAUGAUGAAAUAUUUAUACCUCAAGCUUCACUAUCUCUUACUCUAGUCACAGAUGAGAUUCCUCCAUCAGUACCUCAGGUUUUAGCUCCUCAAGUUAAUCCUCACACCAUUCCAUAUGUUCUCCUUCCUAAUAUACAGUCCCAAAGGGGGUAGAAGACCACCAAUUUAGCAAAAAAAAAAAAAACUAAGUCACUGCCUCAAUUCAUUCCGCAACACCUUACUCUAUUGAUGAGUAUGUUUCUUAGACACAUCUCUCUCCUACCUAUCAAUGAUUUACUGCAGCAACAUCAAAUGAGCUCGAACCAACUUUUUAUGAGGCAGCUUGUUUAGAUCCUAGAUAGGUGUUUUUCAUGAAGGAUGAGAUUUCAGCUCUAGAAAAAAAAACACCUGGAGAAUUAUUUUUUUUACCUGCAGAUAGAUCUGUCGUUGGUUGUAAGUGGAUAUUUAAAAUCAAGUAUAAUAAUAAUGGUUCAAUUAAGAUAUUUAAAGCCAGAUUAUGGGUAAAGGUUUUAGUCAAAGAGAAGGUCUUGACUAUCAAGAAACCUUCUCUCUUGUAGUCAAGAUAGUUACAGUGAGGUUUGUCCUUGCACUUGCUGCAGCUGAGAACUGACACGAGCAUCAAAUUAAUGUCUCUAAUGUUUUUCUUCAAGGUGAUCUAUAUGAUGAGGUGUAUAUGGUAUUACCUCUUGAAUUUUAAGCUCCAACAGGAUUUGCUGAGCAGGAGAAAAAUGGGGAGAAACCAGUAUGCAGGCUCAUCAAAUUCCUCUAUGGAUUGAAACAAGCUCAAAGAGAAUGGAAUUUGAAACUCAUUACAGCACUGAUCAAGCUUUGCUUUGUUCAAAAUCACUUGAAGUAUUCUCUAUUUACUAAAAAAGUUGGAUCAGCUCUUAUUAUACUUUGUUUGUGUAGAUGAUAUUUUAAUUACAUGGAAUGAUCUUAAUAGCAUCAACCAUACUAAAGUAGUUCUCCACAAGAUCUUUAAGGUUAAAGAUUUAGGAGAACUUAGAUAUUUCUUGGGCAUUGAGUUUGCCAGAUUAGAGAAGGGCAUUGUUAUGCAUCAAAGGAAGUACUCAUUGAAGAUCAUUUCAGAAACUGGUUUAAGUACAGCUAAACCAGCAUCUACUCCACUGGUUCCUAACAUAAAGCUUCCCACUAAAGAAUAUGAUAAUGUGGCUAACAAUAAUAAUGAUGAUCCACUGUUGACAGAUAUUGGAAAGUACAGGAGGUUGAUUGGUAAACUCUUGUAUCUCACUGUCACCAGACCAGAUAUAUAAUUUGUUGCCCAGACAUUGAGCCAAUUUCUAAAUCAACCUAAGAAAUCUCACUGGAAUGUUGCUUUAAAGGUUGUGAGAUAUGCAAAAGGACAGACUGGUCUUGACAUACUAAUUUCUAGCAGAAUAUCCAAGAAAUUUAUUUUAUUUUGUGAUACUGAUUGGGCAUCAUGCCCAAACACCAAAAAAAAAUUGUAUCUGCUCUUUUGAUUAAACUAGGAGAUUCUUUCAUUUCAUGGAAAUAAAAAAAGCAACGGAUGGUGUCAAGGAGCUUAACUGAGGUAGAAUAUAGGAACAUGUCAAACUAUGUAGCUGAGGUGGUCUGAUAAUAGAACUACUUAAAGAAUUGAGAGUUGA